AAUAUCCUGGGGUGUUCGAGAACCUUUGUUGUUGAACCUACAUAAUGACAUAAGGGAUUCCUACAUUCUGUAACAGAAAUCAGGCCUCGCACGUUACGUGGCUGUGAAUGUCUCGAACAUUCCCGCCGGUGGACGAUUGAUGUUGCUGUGCGGAGACCCACCUGGCUGAGGCUGGGUGUCAAAACCAGGGUACGGCAUCUUGGGAUAUUU
RNAcentral lists this non-coding RNA (210 nucleotides) under Lachnospiraceae bacterium. Its description in RNAcentral is "6S RNA". It matches the Rfam family "6S / SsrS RNA". From Rfam's summary of the family: E. coli 6S RNA was the first non coding RNA to be sequenced, but its function was unknown until recently. Lineage: Bacteria; Bacillati; Bacillota; Clostridia; Lachnospirales; Lachnospiraceae. The record is from RNAcentral.